RNAcentral lists this transfer RNA (29 nucleotides) under Cyanopsitta spixii (Spix's macaw). RNAcentral describes it as "partial tRNA-Thr". Lineage: Eukaryota; Metazoa; Chordata; Aves; Psittaciformes; Psittacidae. The record is from RNAcentral.
AAAGAUGAAGGCUACCACUUCUUAGAGUU